AGAUUAUGACGGUACCCAUAGAAGAAGCCCCGGCUAACUUCGUGCCAGCAGCCGCGGUAAUACGAGGGGGGCAAGCGUUGUUCGGAAUUAUUGGGCGUAAAGGGUGCGUAGGCGGUUUGGUAAGUCUUGUGUGAAAUCUUCGGGCUCAACUCGAAGUCUGCAUGAGAAACUGCCGGGCUUGAGUGUGGGAGAGGUGAGUGGAAUUUCCGGUGUAGCGGUGAAAUGCGUAGAUAUCGGGAGGAACACCUGUGGCGAAAGCGGCUCACUGGACCACAACUGACGCUGAGGCACGAAAGCUAGGGGAGCAAACAGGAUUAGAUACCCUGGUAGUCCUAGCCCUAAACGAUGAUCGCUUGGUGUGACGGGUACCCAAUCCCGCCGUGCCGAAGCUAACGCGUUAAGCGA
This 405-nucleotide ribosomal RNA is filed under the name uncultured Acidobacteriota bacterium. Its description in RNAcentral is "bacterial SSU rRNA". It matches the Rfam family "Bacterial small subunit ribosomal RNA", at positions 464 to 867 of the family's 1533-position model. The record is from RNAcentral. Lineage: Bacteria; Pseudomonadati; Acidobacteriota.